AACGAACGCUGGCGGCAGGCUUAACACAUGCAAGUCGAACGAACGUAGCAAUACGUUAGUGGCGCACGGGUGAGUAACGCGUGGAUAUCUGCCUUUUGGUUCGGGAUAACCUUGGGAAACCGGGGCUAAUACCGAAUGGUUCCUACGGGAUAAAGAUUUAUCGCCAAAAGAUGAGUCCGCGUCCGAUUAGCUAGUUGGUG
RNAcentral lists this ribosomal RNA (200 nucleotides) under uncultured bacterium. RNAcentral describes it as "partial 16S ribosomal RNA". It matches the Rfam family "Bacterial small subunit ribosomal RNA", at positions 29 to 254 of the family's 1533-position model. The record is from RNAcentral.